This 484-nucleotide ribosomal RNA is filed under the name uncultured bacterium. RNAcentral describes it as "partial 16S ribosomal RNA". It matches the Rfam family "Bacterial small subunit ribosomal RNA", at positions 30 to 507 of the family's 1533-position model. The record is from RNAcentral.
AUUGAACGCUAGCGGGAUGCUUUACACAUGCAAGUCGAACGGCAGCGCGGACUUCGGUCUGGCGGCGAGUGGCGAACGGGUGAGUAAUGUAUCGGAACGUGCCCAGUAGCGGGGGAUAACUACGCGAAAGCGUAGCUAAUACCGCAUACGCCCUACGGGGGAAAGCAGGGGAUCGUAAGACCUUGCACUAUUGGAGCGGCCGAUAUCGGAUUAGCUAGUUGGUGAGGUAACGGCUCACCAAGGCGACGAUCCGAAGCUGGUUUGAGAGGACGACCAGCCACACUGGGACUGAGACACGGCCCAGACUCCUACGGGAGGCAGCAGUGGGGAAUUUUGGACAAUGGGGGCAACCCUGAUCCAGCCAUCCCGCGUGUGCGAUGAAGGCCUUCGGGUUGUAAAGCACUUUUGGCAGGAAAGAAACGUCGCGGGCUAAUACCCCGUGGAACUGACGGUACCUGCAGAAUAAGCACCGGCUAACUACGUG